This 377-nucleotide ribosomal RNA is filed under the name uncultured bacterium. RNAcentral's name for it is "bacterial SSU rRNA". It matches the Rfam family "Bacterial small subunit ribosomal RNA", at positions 523 to 898 of the family's 1533-position model. The record is from RNAcentral.
AUACGAAGGUGGCGAAUGAUACUCGGAUUUACUGGGCGUAAAGCGUCCGCAGGUGGUUUAUCAAGUUAGGUGUGAAAGCCCCGUGCUCAACAUGGGAACUGCACUUAAAACUGGUAGACUAGAAGAUAGGAGAGGUAGGUAGAAUUCUCGGUGUAGAGGUGAAAUUCGUAGAUAUCGAGAGGAAUACUCAUGGCGAAGGCAGCCUACUGGCCUAUACUUGACACUCAUGGACGAAAGCGUGGGGAGCAAACAGGAUUAGAUACCCUGGUAGUCCACGCCCUAAACGAUGUGUGCUCGCUGUCGGGAUCGCUACAGAUCUCGGUGGCUCAGCUAACGCGGUAAGCACACCGCCUGGGGAUUACGGCCGCAAGGUUAAA